GUCAGGAUGGCCGAGUGGUCUAAGGCUUGAGGUUUCCAGCCUCUGAUUAGAGGUGUGGGUUCAAAUCCCACUUCUGACA
Non-coding RNA from Neoarius graeffei (lesser salmon catfish), 79 nucleotides. Lineage: Eukaryota; Metazoa; Chordata; Actinopteri; Siluriformes; Ariidae. The record is from the annotation of a RefSeq genome assembly.